UUACGGCCAUAUCACGUUGAAACACCGGCUCCCGUACGAUCACCGAAGUAAAGCAACGUCGAGCCAGGUCACUACAUAGAUGUGGGACCUCAUGAGAAUACCAGGUGCCGUAAG
Molecule: non-coding RNA, 114 nt
Organism: Acanthosepion pharaonis
Lineage: Eukaryota; Metazoa; Mollusca; Cephalopoda; Sepiida; Sepiidae
Source: the annotation of a GenBank genome assembly